GUCCACGCCGUAAACGAUGAAUGCUAGGUGUUGGGAGCAAAGCUCUUCGGUGCCGCCGCAAACGCAUUAAGCAUUCCACCUGGGAGUACGUUCGCAAGAAUGAAACUCAAAGUAAUUGACGGGGACCCGCACAAGCGGUGGAGCAUGUGGUUUAAUUCGAAGCAACGCGAAGAACCUUACCAGGUCUUGACAUCCCGAUGACCGGCCCGUAACGGGCCUUCUCUUCGGAGCAUUGGAGACAGGUGGUGCAUGGUUGUCGU
Molecule: ribosomal RNA, 260 nt
Filed under: uncultured bacterium
Lineage: Bacteria
Description: partial 16S ribosomal RNA
Rfam family: Bacterial small subunit ribosomal RNA
Source: RNAcentral